GGACUCCGGUGGGCAGGAAUAGGCAGAGUCGGUGCCCGCGACCUCUGCCAUCGCCCGGAGAUGCAGAUGAGGCCCCGAGAUUUAGGCCUGCGAGACGGGUGACGACGUCGGUCCAGCUCUUCACUGGAGAACCUCAGAAUUGAAGUUUAUGCUCCUGUCAGAAAAUCCACUGAGCCCAGGCGCCUGAGGGGCCCUUCCUUGCACCCACAUCCCCACUCAGCAUUGAUUGUUCCUUGGGUCGUAUUAUGUCUGAGUCCUUGGCUGUUAAGUUGUUAGUCUAACAUUCUAGAAUACAGAAAUACAAGAGAAAACGGGGCCUUGAAUCUGAGAACUGGGCUUGGGAUUAAGAAGUCAGGGCUGGAUUUCAGCACAUGGAAUGACUUAGUGGCCUCCAGGCAGAAGCCGCUGCUGACCAGGAGAGUCUGGUGAGGUCCCAGGUGGAUGAUUUGCUCCAAAUUGUUGAGCAUCAGAUGCAAUUAAUUUCCUGAUUACAUGACCUUGUGAACACAACACCAGCAGUGUCCUGGAAAGUUACUUCAAGGGAACAUUUGGGCCCUAAUAUUUCGUUCAUGAAUGUUGUUGGUAGAGUGACAUCAUGUCCAUAGACUUGAGGAAACACGCAGGGGUUUGCACUGCCACCAUGGAAAAUUUCACCAAAAAUCGAUAUUGAUGCUUGGCACAGGAGAGAAGAGCGUGAGUCCCGUCGGGACAAGUUACACCAUGGGACAAGCAGCUUGAAAAAUCUCAGUGAUUUGAAAGAAAAAUCAUUAUUUUUUGCUCUUGUCACGUGUACAUAAAAUUUGACCUGGGGGCUCUGCUCUGUGGUGUCCCCCAGGACCCAGGUGGGGGGCUCGGACACUGUGGACACACAAGACUCUUGCAGGCUCAGAAACUUCCACCUGGAGCUGAUGUGCUGGUGGUUUCUGUUUACAUUCCAUGCACUGGAGGAAGUCGCAUGGCAGAUGCUAGAGGACCAGCAUGGGAGAGCCGUUCUAGCAACCAGGACACCUGCCGCAGCACCCCACCUUCUCCAGGAAACAAGGACACCUGCACACGCCCACUCGAGAGUUGGUGACCGGCCUCGGCUCUGGGGUUCUUGCAACGCAUGCUCCUGGUGGGGUUCUCCUUCCUGUCCUUCUGAGCUACGUGUGGAUCACGCUCCCCAUAUGUGGAACCUAGGAACUGCCCACCAGUGGGGCCAGGAAGCCUAUCUUUCAGAGAACUGGGAAGAUCACCUUCUACUUUACCCCUGUCUGGGAAACUGUAAACAUGGGUUCCACGGUCUUGGACAAUGAGACGAUUCCCAGUCUUUGCCUGUCGCUCCUCUAGGAGAUGAUGUGCUGCUGGAACACUUUUCCAGUACGAUUCUUUCCUGCUCUGUGAAGAGGUGUGCGGCACGCAGAUCCCUCGGCCAGCUCCCAUCUUGUGGACGUGCUGUCGUCACUGGGACUGUGACUCAGUCUCCAAGGAGUGCCUUGGCGUGGCCUGCUUUAGGUUGUAAAGACCCAGUUUUAUCCACUUUCUGUGAAGAAGCCAACAGGGCAUGGAGUGUGUUCCAAGGUUUCAGCGGCUGCGAUGGCUGGUGCUCUGUGGGCAUGACAGCGGAAAGGCACCUCCCUCUGUGGGCCCUGAGAUCUGUGCUGGACUCAGCUCUGUGGCCGUGUCCAUGGGGGCAGCCACAGACCAUGCGUGGCAGGUGCACAGCGCUGUUCCAUGAGAAUUUUAUACACAAAAGCGGACCGGCUGGACUCUGGAUCAUAAUCUGCCGGCCCCUGGGUAAGAGAUUUUAAAUAUUUACUUGACUCUUUUCAACAGAAGGGAGCGAAUAAUGGAAAAGACCUGAUUCAGCGUGUAUCAGGAAGGACCGGUGUAAAUCCAACUCGUUUAACUGAAUUUACAAUAUUUGGUGUAUUAUGCUUUUAGGGGUUAAAAUGGGUCACACAAGCACAGCAUGCCCUUGACUGGCCUGGCGGGGCACCUCAGUGUUUCGACUUGUGGUUCCCGUGCUCACUGGGGCUGGAGGCCCCUGUCAGUAGUAAAGUGCAUCUGGGGUUCUGGGUUCUUCUCCUGGCUUUGUUAUAUUUGUAUGAACUUGUGCACGGUUAGAGGUUUGGGCUAAAUUUGGCUCACAGGCUGCAAAAGUUCUGUGACCCCUUUUUCCCCCCAGUUGAUUAAUGUUAUAAAGAUUAGAAUAUUAUUACAUAAAAGCUGGAUUUUUGGUUCCUUUCACAUUGGAAUAGCUGCCAGCAUUGGGCCUGUGUUGAUUUCUCUAGGGCAAUGUUGGCUGUGGUAGAAAUGACAGCCCCCCACUAGGGUGUGUGUGCUGGGCCCACAGGCCCCGCCCUCUGGACUUGGUCACCUCGGCUCUCAGGUUACCCAGCUCUUUGGUUUCUAAUGUUGCGUUUCUGGACUGCACGACAUACAAGUCUCUCACCACAACAAGACUCAAUGAUUCUGUGUGUUAGAAAAAAAUAGCCAGUGAGGCAAGUGUAUACUCGUGUUGAUGAAUUCAUAGGAUUAACUCUGUAAGUUGGUGGCAGUUUGUAUCCUUCUUCCAGGUACUCUCCACUUCUCCUGGCUAGAAAGGUUCUGCCACCUGUCCUGAGGUCAGGCCCAGACAAUGGAAUGGGAAUGGAAGUGACUCUGCCCCUUAUUGGCAGAAACUGUAAAAGCCACACAAGGUUCCCUCACCCUCCCCCUCUGCCACGAGCCUGGCAAUGCUCAGCAUGGGAAAAUUGUUUCACCUGAGCCUGAGGAUGCAGGUGCUACCCCCAGCCUGCAGUGGAUGAGAAGCAUGGCAAGUGGCUCAGCUGAGUGUUUUCAAGCCAUGGAGGUGUUUGGAGGUUGUUUGCUACCAUGCUUUGCCCCUGCAAACACAGCCAUGGAGAAGGCCAUCGGCAGAGCCUGACCUGCUCGUCUUACCUGUUCAAUUACUUUUUGAGGAAAUGUGGCCGUGAAAUGAGUAAAACAUGAUUCCUACCUUUAGGGACCUCAAAGCAGUGGAUUAAAGGAAGUCACAGAUUAGACAAGCACACAAAGUUCCUAAGAGCAAACUUUGUUAAGGUUGGCAAGUCCCUCUUAUCCGCUGUUUUGCCUUCUGAGGUUUCAGUUACUUUCAGUCAAUGAUAAUCCAAAAACAUUAAGCGAAUAAUUCCAGAAAUAAACAGUUCAUAAGUUUUAACUCGUGUUCCAUUCUGAGUAGUGUGAUGAAGUCUCAGGCCGCCCAUUCAGUCCCACCUGCGGCGUGGCUCCUCCCUCUGUCCAGCAGAUCCACCUGUCUCUACUGCCUGCCUGUCCGCCACCUAGUGGCCAUCUCAGUCACAAGGUCGUCAUGAUACCUUGAUGAUACCAUGCUGUGUUUUCAAGGAACCCUCAUUUUACUUAAUAAUGGCCCCAAAGUGCCAGAGUAGUCAUGCUGGCAAUUCAGAAAUGUCAAAGAGAACCUGCAAAGUGCUUCCUUUAAGUGAACAGGUGAAAGGUCUUGACUAACCCAGGAAAGGAGAAAAUCAUAUGCCAAGUUUCCUAAUGUCUAUGGCGAGAAUCAAUCUUCUAUUCAUGAACUUGUGAGGAAGGAAAAAGAAAUGCAUCCAAGUUUUGUUGCCACACCUCAGAGUGCAAUAGUUACAGCCACAGUGCAGUUUUGUUGCCACACCUCAGAGUGCAAUAGUUACAGCCACAGUGCAUGGUGGUUGGUUCAGAUGGAAAGGCCAUUAAAUUUUGGGGGUGGAGGGGAGGACAGGAACAGAAGCAUGUUCUGAUUGAUGGCAAUUGGGUCCCUUACCAUCUGUGGUUUCAGGCGUCGGCUGGGGGUCUUGAAAUGUUUGCCUCCAGAAUAUAGGGUACAGGGGGGAUAAAGGGAGACUACUAGCUCUCUCAGUAUCCAGAAUAAACAAUAGAUUUUUGAAACAUUCCUGAGAAAAUACUGGGAGUUGCAUAUUGGCCAGGUGUAUUCUUUAAAGUUGUUGCUUCUAAAGGGUGGGGAUGACUCAAUUUCAGAAAAGCAAACCUUUGCUGAAAGACAACAUUAUUUCUGUUGGCAGAAGUCGGCUUGAGCAAUCUAAAUUUUCCACGGCGUAUGCAUAUAUAGGAAUAAAAGUCAUGGCUGUUUGUAAUUUGUAUGAGAUUUAAAAGCAAGUGCAAAAAUCUGACUUAAAGAUGAGAAAGAUGAGGUAGGAAAAAACAGCUGCUUCUCUGGAAAGAAACAGGAAUGUUGUCCCUCAGGAAUGAAUGCCUAACCUUGCGUAGUUGAAUCUCCCCUAACUUUGCUGCAGACAACAUGGAUGUGAGCUGGCUCCAAGCUUUCUAAAGUGAAAGUAAUUCAGUUCCCACUCAGGGUUCAAUUGCAGCAACUCUCUCAGCCUAGUGUCUAGUUAGUAGCCUUGUAACGCAAACCCCAACUGUGCUGGGGAAUGGGAAGGGUGUGAUGAUAAAAGAUGAAUAAACCAGUGUUCAGCUCAGCUGGGAGGGUCUCCCAGAGCCUCAGUGGAAGAGUCUUACUGCCUUUCCAGGUAACUCUGUCUCUUCCAGAACAUCCCCAAGGACUGGUCUCUAGACUUUGGGUUGACUUCAAGGAGAACAGCCAAGGCCUACAUGAGGCCAACAAACAUAUGAAAAAAUGCUCAUCAUCACUGGUCAUCAGAGAAAUGCAAAUCAAAACUACAUUGAGAUACCAUCUCACGCCAGUUAG
Long non-coding RNA from Cebus imitator (Panamanian white-faced capuchin), 4687 nucleotides. RefSeq lists it as uncharacterized. The record is from RefSeq and is a predicted model, not a curated record. The transcript is spliced from 3 exons. NCBI's taxonomy places the organism in Eukaryota, Metazoa, Chordata, Mammalia, Primates, Cebidae.